Molecule: RNA transcript, 715 nt
Organism: Ailuropoda melanoleuca (giant panda)
Lineage: Eukaryota; Metazoa; Chordata; Mammalia; Carnivora; Ursidae
Gene: DNLZ
Gene name: DNL-type zinc finger
Exons: 4
Source: RefSeq, a predicted model, not a curated record
GGGGCGGGGCGGGGCAGCUGAGGUCGGAAGGAGGGAUGCUGCGGGCUGCGCUGAGCCGCGUGCCGCCGCUACUGAGCCGCGUGCGGCCCCGGGAACCCGGCCUGCGGUGGUUGUGGGGACGUGGGGGCGGACCGGAGGCUGCGGGGAGAAGGCCGACCGGGUCAGGGGUCUGGGGCUGGCGGCGUUUGAGCUCGGAGCCGGGCCCCGGGGCCGCGCACUACCAGCUUGUCUACACUUGCAAGGUGUGCGGGAGCCGGUCCUCCAAGCGCAUCUCCAAGCUGGCCUAUCACCGGGGAGUGGUCAUUGUGACCUGCCCGGGCUGCCAGAAGCACCACGUCAUCGCGGACAACCUGGGCUGGUUCUCAGACCUGGAUGGAAAGAGAAUGUGCAGGGCGCCAGCUCCAGAGCAGGGUCCUGGCGCAUCGCUGGCAUUCUCUGCCCGCGCUGGCUGGUCGGUCACACCAGAUUGGGGGUGUGCAUGAGGCGGUGCACAGCCCUCCGUGGGCAGGAGCCUCCUGGCCGGCGGCCCUGCACCGUUCAGUGGGGCUUCUGAGAGUCUGUUCUGCUUGAGAACAGGAAUAUUGAAGAAAUCCUGGCAGCCAGAGGGGAGAAGGUGUGCCGAGUGGCUGGCGAGGGGGCACUAGAGCUGGUUUUAGAGGCUGCCGGGAACCCCAAAUCCCCCACUGCUCCAGAAGGGGGCGAGGAUCAGGACCCC